UACGAAGGGGGCUAGCGUUGCUCGGAAUCACUGGGCGUAAAGCGCACGUAGGCGGAUCUUUAAGUCAGGGGUGAAAUCCUGGAGCUCAACUCCAGAACUGCCUUUGAUACUGGGGAUCUCGAGUCCGGAAGAGGUGAGUGAAACUCCGAGUGUAGAGGUGAAAUUCGUAGAUAUUCGGAAGAACACCAGUGGCGAAGGCGGCUCACUGGUCCGGUACUGACGCUGAGGUGCGAAAGCGUGGGGAGCAAACAGG
Molecule: ribosomal RNA, 253 nt
Filed under: uncultured bacterium
Lineage: Bacteria
Description: partial 16S ribosomal RNA
Rfam family: Bacterial small subunit ribosomal RNA
Source: RNAcentral